UACAGAGGGCUCAAGCGUUGUUCGGAUUCAUUGGGCGUAAAGGGUUCGUAGGCGGCGCGGUAAGUCGGGUGUGAAAUCUUGGAGCUUAACUCCGAAACUGCAUUCGAUACUGCCGUGCUUGAGGACUGGAGAGGAGACUGGAAUUUACGGUGUAGCGGUGAAAUGCGUUGAGAUCGGAAGGAACGCCCGUGGCGAAAGCGAGGUCCUGGACGUCUGCUGACGCUGAGACGCGAAAGCCAGGGGAGCAAACGGG
RNAcentral lists this ribosomal RNA (253 nucleotides) under uncultured bacterium. RNAcentral's name for it is "partial 16S ribosomal RNA". It matches the Rfam family "Bacterial small subunit ribosomal RNA", at positions 524 to 776 of the family's 1533-position model. The record is from RNAcentral.